This 302-nucleotide ribosomal RNA is filed under the name uncultured bacterium. RNAcentral's name for it is "partial 16S ribosomal RNA". It matches the Rfam family "Bacterial small subunit ribosomal RNA", at positions 508 to 809 of the family's 1533-position model. The record is from RNAcentral.
GCAGCCGCCGCGGUAAUACAGAGGGUGCGAGCGUUAAUCGGAUUUACUGGGCGUAAAGCGUGCGUAGGCGGCUUCUUAAGUCGGAUGUGAAAUCCCUGAGCUUAACUUAGGAAUUGCAUUCGAUACUGGGAAGCUAGAGUAUGGGAGAGGAUGGUAGAAUUCCAGGUGUAGCGGUGAAAUGCGUAGAGAUCUGGAGGAAUACCGAUGGCGAAGGCAGCCAUCUGGCCUAAUACUGACGCUGAGGUACGAAAGCAUGGGGAGCAAACAGGAUUAGAUACCCGCGUAGUCCCUGUCUCUUAUAA